GUCCUAGCAGUAAACGGUGCACGCUUGGUGUGCGCGGGUUCGACCCCGUGCGUGCCGGAGCUAACGCGUUAAGCGUGCCGCCUGGGAAGUACGGUCGCAAGAUUAAAACUCAAAGAAAUUGACGGGGACCCGCACAAGCGGUGGAGUAUGUGGCUUAAUUCGAUGCAACGCGAAGAACCUUACCUGGAUUUGACAUGCAUUGUGUCGCCAAUGAAAGUUGGCUAGGGUAGCAAUACCCGCUUUGCACAGGUGCUGCAUGGCUGUCGU
This 267-nucleotide ribosomal RNA is filed under the name uncultured bacterium. Its description in RNAcentral is "partial 16S ribosomal RNA". It matches the Rfam family "Bacterial small subunit ribosomal RNA", at positions 793 to 1055 of the family's 1533-position model. The record is from RNAcentral.